UGGUUUUGUAAAUAGGUUGUCUGGGCUCUUCUGUAGCAGGAAUCUGCAUUUCCAGGAUUUCUGCUAAAAGUUUUCAUACUUUUAUGGGUGCCUUUUAAGGGGCCAUUCUGGAAUGCACAUUUUCCUCAAUUAACUGCAUCCCAAGGGUUUUAAUAAAAUCAGAAUGUUUUAUUAUCUCACCUCAUUGUACAAACUGGUAAGAUAUUCAGUAGUUAACACUCAUAACAUUUUAAAUGGCAUAAAAAAUUGUCAUUGGCCAAUGGUUGGUUCUCUUGGACACUGAAUAUCAUGAACAUUUUCCAUCUAAAGCAUCAACUCCAGAUUUUGGGUCAUUAUAAAAUUUCGACAUUAUCAAAUCUAAGGCAACCUACUAAAAAUAAAAAUGGGGCCGGACUCAGAGCAGCAC
Molecule: long non-coding RNA, 406 nt
Organism: Heterocephalus glaber (naked mole-rat)
Lineage: Eukaryota; Metazoa; Chordata; Mammalia; Rodentia; Bathyergidae
Source: Ensembl